Molecule: ribosomal RNA, 478 nt
Filed under: uncultured bacterium
Lineage: Bacteria
Description: partial 16S ribosomal RNA
Rfam family: Bacterial small subunit ribosomal RNA
Source: RNAcentral
GACGAACGCUGGCGGCGUGCUUAACACAUGCAAGUCGGACGGUAAGGCCCUUCGGGGUACACGAGUGGCGAACGGGUGAGUAACACGUGGGUGAUCUGCCCUGCACUUCGGGAUAAGCCUGGGAAACUGGGUCUAAUACCGGAUAGGACCACUGCCUGCAUGGGUGGUGGUGGGAAGCUUUUGCGGUGUGGGAUGGGCCCGCGGCCUAUCAGCUUGUUGGUGGGGUGAUGGCCUACCAAGGCGACGACGGGUAGCCGGCCUGAGAGGGUGACCGGCCACACUGGGACUGAGAUACGGCCCAGACUCCUACGGGAGGCAGCAGUGGGGAAUAUUGCACAAUGGGCGCAAGCCUGAUGCAGCGACGCCGCGUGAGGGAUGACGGCCUUCGGGUUGUAAACCUCUUUCAGCACCGACGAAGCGCAAGUGACGGUAGGUGCAGAAGAAGGACCGGCCAACUACGUGCCAGCCGCCGCAGUAA